CUCGACGUUUAUUAUAUUGAGUUGAAAACACCUCUAAAUAAUUGUCAUACCACCAUUUAUUAUAAGAAAUCGACUAUAAUCGAAGUGCUAUAUACAAAUUAUCAUAUUCUCUUGGCUGUAGUAUUUAUACACGAGUUCUAAAAAUUGCUUCUACAUUGCAACAAAACUACAUUUCUGAACAUGCGCAGAGGACCUUUUUCCUAUACAAGAAUACGAUCUCUUUUUAGUAUAAAUUGAUAAUUUUGUCAAACGUAGCUCUUUUACAAUUUCUCAAAACCUAUUUCGUUGCACGCUAAUUAAAUUGCUAUAAGGCCAUAUAAAAUAAAUUCCUUGAUUCUCAUCACCGCCCGACGAUAUUUUGGUUUCCGCGUUGAUAUAUUUUUGUAUUUUGUUAUAAAAUAUAAAUUUACCGCCUGACCGAGCAUCUUCAGAGAUUUAGUUAUUUUUAUAUUUUAUAUUGGAAUUUUUGCGAUAUAAAAUUGUUUUAUCGUUAAUAUUGCAACAUGUUAAGGGAUGCUUGGAAUACUGAAGGAA
Molecule: non-coding RNA, 534 nt
Organism: Paramuricea clavata
Lineage: Eukaryota; Metazoa; Cnidaria; Anthozoa; Malacalcyonacea; Plexauridae
Source: the annotation of a GenBank genome assembly